RNAcentral lists this long non-coding RNA (323 nucleotides) under Brassica napus (rape). Its description in RNAcentral is "long non-coding RNA (BNAP_LNC017779)". The record is from RNAcentral. Lineage: Eukaryota; Viridiplantae; Streptophyta; Magnoliopsida; Brassicales; Brassicaceae.
UAAAUCUCAAAACUUCAAUCCAAUCUUAAACCUAAACUCAAAAUUUAAUCAUUUAAAAAAUCUAAUCUUAAAUUUAAAUUCUAAACCUCAAACACCGAAUCUUAAAUCUACACUAUGUAUCUAAUACCCUAUACCCCAAACUUAAUAUCUACAUACAAAAUCAUAAAUCCAAUCUUUACAAACUUACAAUAUAAACUUUAAAAUUAAAUUCCAAUUAUAUUCUAAAACUCAAAUCACAUACUUAAUCGUAAAUAUUAACCCUAACCACUAAACCGCUCGUCACCACCACCACCACCACCACCGUUCGUUACCACCACCACCAU